GGUGAUAGUGACCAAAGGGGUCUUAUAUAGAAUACUGAAUAGGGAUCAUUCCAGAUUUCAAAAAAGAAUUUGAAAUUUAAAAUCUCCCCCUCAGAUAAGGUUCCCCCCAACAAAUUGUACCUAUCCCGUUAUUCUUCAAUAGAUUUUGGAAGAAAAGCCAAUGGAAAAAAUGGGGAAAAGGGAAUAAUCUCCCUCAAACCAGUAAAAAUCGUCCAAAUAUGUACCAAACUUGUACCUCUAU
RNAcentral lists this long non-coding RNA (241 nucleotides) under Capsicum annuum. RNAcentral's name for it is "long non-coding RNA (CANN_LNC011638)". Lineage: Eukaryota; Viridiplantae; Streptophyta; Magnoliopsida; Solanales; Solanaceae. The record is from RNAcentral.